UACAGGGGGUGCAACCGUUGCUCGGAAUUAUUGGGCGUAAAGCGCACGUAGGCGGUUUGUUAUGUCGGAUGUGAAAGCCCUUGGCUCAACUGAGGAAGUGCAUCCGAAACUGGCAAGCUAGAGUAUGUAAGAGGGUCGCGGAAUUCCCGGUGUAGAGGUGAAAUUCGUAGAUAUCGGGAGGAACACCGGUGGCGAAGGCGGCGACCUGGGACAAUACUGACGCUGAGGUGCGAAAGCGUGGGGAGCAAACAGG
This 253-nucleotide ribosomal RNA is filed under the name uncultured bacterium. RNAcentral's name for it is "partial 16S ribosomal RNA". It matches the Rfam family "Bacterial small subunit ribosomal RNA", at positions 524 to 776 of the family's 1533-position model. The record is from RNAcentral.